RNAcentral lists this transfer RNA (76 nucleotides) under Candidatus Pelagibacter sp. Its description in RNAcentral is "tRNA-Asn". It matches the Rfam family "tRNA". Rfam says of the family: Transfer RNA (tRNA) molecules are approximately 80 nucleotides in length. The record is from RNAcentral. Lineage: Bacteria; Pseudomonadati; Pseudomonadota; Alphaproteobacteria; Candidatus Pelagibacterales; Candidatus Pelagibacteraceae.
UCCCGAGUAGCUCAGUUGGUAGAGCAGUUGACUGUUAAUCAAUUGGUCGCAGGUUCGAGUCCUGCCUCGGGAGCCA